RNAcentral lists this ribosomal RNA (376 nucleotides) under uncultured organism. RNAcentral's name for it is "bacterial SSU rRNA". It matches the Rfam family "Bacterial small subunit ribosomal RNA", at positions 526 to 896 of the family's 1533-position model. The record is from RNAcentral.
CAGAGGCCUCAAGCGUUAUCCGGAAUCAUUGGGCGUAAAGCGUACCGACAGGUGGUUUGGUUAGUCUUGGGUGAAAUCCCGAAGCUCAACUCGGGUUUGCUUAAGAUACUGCCAGACUAGAGGGGCAAAGAGGAGAUUGGAACGAACGGUGUAGUAGUGAAAUGCGUUGAUAUCGUUCGGAACACCGAAAGCGAAGGCAGAUCUCUGGGUGCCUCCUGACACUGCUAGGACGAGAGCGUGGGUAGCGAAUGGGAUUAGAUACCCCAGUAGUCCACGCUGUAAACGAUGAAUACUAGGCAUGCGCGAGUAUCGACCCUCGUGCGAGCCGUAGCUAACGCGUUAAGUAUUCCGCCAGGGGAGUACGGUCGCAAGACUA